GUGGUGGAAAGAUUUAUCGGUGCAGGAUGGGCCCGCGGCCUAUCAGCUUGUUGGUGGGGUAAUGGCCUACCAAGGCGACGACGGGUAGCCGACCUGAGAGGGUGACCGGCCACACUGGGACUGAGACACGGCCCAGACUCCUACGGGAGGCAGCAGUGGGGAAUAUUGCACAAUGGGCGGAAGCCUGAUGCAGCGACGCCGCGUGAGGGAUGAAGGCCUUCGGGUUGUAAACCUCUUUCAGCAGGGACGAAGCGUGAGUGACGGUACCUGCAGAAGAAGCACCGGCUAACUACGUGCCAGCAGCCGCGGUAAUACGUAGGGUGCGAGCGUUGUCCGGAAUUACUGGGCGUAAAGAGUUCGUAGGCGGUUUGUCGCGUCGUUUGUGAAAACCCGGGGCUCAACUUCGGGCUUGCAGGCGAUACGGGCAGACUUGAGUGUUUCAGGGGAGACUGGAAUUCCUGGUGUAGCGGUGAAAUGCGCAGAUAUCAGGAGGAACACCGGUGGCGAAGGCGGGUCUCUGGGAAACAACUGACGCUGAGGAACGAAAGCGUGGGUAGCAAACAGGAUUAGAUACCCUGGUAGUCCACGCCG
RNAcentral lists this ribosomal RNA (591 nucleotides) under Rhodococcoides fascians. RNAcentral describes it as "bacterial SSU rRNA". It matches the Rfam family "Bacterial small subunit ribosomal RNA", at positions 196 to 802 of the family's 1533-position model. Lineage: Bacteria; Bacillati; Actinomycetota; Actinomycetes; Mycobacteriales; Nocardiaceae. The record is from RNAcentral.